UUUCCCAUAAAAAAAAAAAAGGAACUGGUAAGAACUCUUAUUUGUCCUGAUCCAGUCCAUGAAGUUAGAACCAAGAAUUAGGGUGUCAUAGAAAUGAACUUUGCAUGGGCAAAUGAGAGCCUAGACUUCAAUCUUACUGUUCUUUUUAUCAAUCAUCAUCACUCCCUUUUAGCAAUUUUCUUGGUGGUGACAGUGGCUGAUGUUACUAAAACAAGCUGUCCCCACUCUUACUCUCCGUUUUCUAAAUCUAGGCCAAUCCAAAUCAGAUCCUUUCCGUCCUAAGCUUACGCGGCAAUGGAAGCUUCAUGGCUGUUUCCAAACUCAUUGGCUUACAAACUUCUUUCCAUUGAUUGAAAUGACACAAGAAAAAAAAAUCUUUCCAAAAUGAUUUUUCGUAAUAAAUAAUUGAUCAAACUAUAUUCCUCCAGGCUCUAUCCCAAUUUUAAUGUUGUUUUUAAACUUUUUCUCUUAUGCUUUGCUUCGUUGAAGUAGUAACUAGUAAGGCCUUCAACACGAGUGACAAUAACAAGCUUCCUUUCAUAACAUCUGUUGCCCUUAAAUGGCCCUAUAAUCAUGUGAAAAAGUGAAGUGUGGCAAGCAAAUGAUGAAGCUAAAUCAGAAGAGCAAAGACAAGGCAAGUCAGGUUUGGAGGAAACUUCCCCGAAGCAUCAUAUCAAGUUUCAAACAUUUUAGUACGAAACAACAAGCAAUAGGAUCUUUAAGUCAUAAUAAAAGGGAUUUAGCCCCAAAUCACAGGCUUUGAGUACUGCUUAAAUUUUUUAUGCUGAUUUACGGUAAAGCAAUGAAGCUUCAUAGCUCCUACGCACUUCCAUACAAGUCCCCUCAAACAUUUCCUUCUUUAAUGUUGUUAUCCAUGUCUUUAGCUGGUUUUGGAACUUUCUGGCCCCUUUGUGGCCAAGAAAGCUAGCUUCACUGAGACAUCAGACCACCAGUUUUUAACGUGUGCAAGACUAGCACAAUUCACCUGCAUUGGAACUAAAAACUACAGAUAUAAAGUUGAAGAAUGGAACAAACUAGGUGUCACAUGUUGUAAAAACUUUGAAAGAGAUUAAUGUAGAAUCCAUCGCAUUUUGAUAGUUGAUUUUUUUUUUAUACGUCAAGUUUCGCUGAUUUGUCAUUGAACUCAAUUAAAUAAUUUUCCAAUAAAAUAAUUAUGGAAAUAAUAAGAACUAAUCAAAUACGAAUUCAUGAGCUAAUUGAGGGCCCAAAAAGCUAACAUCACGAGUCCAAUAAACAAGCAAGAUGGGCUCCCAUGAGGCCGAAACUUUUUUUGCAACAAACCCAACAUUUGCUUGAAAAGCCCAAAGUUUCAAAACUUUUUGUCUCAACGUGGGCAUUUAUUAACACAAGGGCGAGCGGUGCACCUCCACUCUUGUUCCGUUCAUUGGAGAGCUUCCGGAGAAACCUGUCCCGGUCACAUUUUCCUGCUAAUGAAGCCUUUCGUGGAGAAAGCUUGGCUCCAAAUCUUAAACCCAACCCUGUUUUCAAUCUAUUGUGUAACCAGAAUUCUUAAAUCCCAACUCAGGAGAAACUCUGUCGAACAUAUUCUCCAAGCUCACCUAAUGGCCCAAGAUAGCCUUUCGGAGUGCACGAAGCCAAAACGGCGGCAUGGCUCAAUUCCCGAGAAAGCUGUUUUACCUUGAAGAGCCUCUCCUAUCACCGCUGCGCGGGGGAGGUUGCGGUGUCAGCGACAGGGACAGCUUUGGUCCCAACUGAUUUAAGCAUUGGGAUACCAGAAGGAACAUAUGCUUGUCGCGAAGAUCUGGGUUGGCAUUGAAGAAUUCCGUCGAUGUUGGAGCUGGGGUGAUCAAUGGUGAUUAUAGAGGACGUGUUCGGGUGAUUCUGGUUAAUCAUUCUGAUGUUGAUUUCCAGGUGAAACAUGGCGAUAGGAUUGCCCAGUUAUGACUCCUAAGGCUUUGGAAGAUGAGGACUUUGGAUUCUACUCUCAGAGGAACUGAAGGAUUUGGGUCCACCGGGAUUUGGUCAUUUCUCUUAUUUUCUUUGUAGAUGCAUUAGUGUUAGAUUUUGUUUUGUUCGAUGGAGACGGCCUUAUGGAAGAUGAUUAUGAUCAAAAGCCACAGCUUUGGUUUCUUUUGGGGCUCUUGGGCGUAUGAUUUUCUUUGUAAAUGACUAGAUGGAAACACUGCUUGACAUUGUGAUUACAUCAGAUAAUCUAGAACACAAAUGAAUGACACAACAAAAAUAAAAUAAAAAUGAG
Molecule: long non-coding RNA, 2239 nt
Organism: Durio zibethinus
Lineage: Eukaryota; Viridiplantae; Streptophyta; Magnoliopsida; Malvales; Malvaceae
Source: RefSeq, a predicted model, not a curated record